GCAGAGCCCAGCAAAUAACUUUAAAUCCAAACAAAAAUAAAAGUAAAAAAUUUAUUAGCUAACGUUUCGUUGUUUACAAUACAACAUCUAGAUUAAUUGCUCUGAAGAUGUUGUAUUGUAAACAACGAAACGUUAGCUAAUAUUUUUUUUUACCUUUAUUAUGUUUGGAUUUAAAGUUAUUUGCUGGGCUC
This is a non-coding RNA of Paramuricea clavata, 191 nucleotides long. The record is from the annotation of a GenBank genome assembly. Lineage: Eukaryota; Metazoa; Cnidaria; Anthozoa; Malacalcyonacea; Plexauridae.